RNAcentral lists this ribosomal RNA (685 nucleotides) under uncultured Bacteroidales bacterium. RNAcentral describes it as "bacterial SSU rRNA". It matches the Rfam family "Bacterial small subunit ribosomal RNA", at positions 74 to 754 of the family's 1533-position model. Lineage: Bacteria; Pseudomonadati; Bacteroidota; Bacteroidia; Bacteroidales. The record is from RNAcentral.
GUUUGCUUGCAAACCAAAGCUGGCGACCGGCGCACGGGUGAGUAACACGUAUCCAACCUACCUCAUACUCGGGGAUAGCCUUUCGAAAGAAAGAUUAAUAUCCGAUAGCAUAUAUUUCCCGCAUGGGUUUUAUAUUAAAGAAAUUCGGUAUGAGAUGGGGAUGCGUUCCAUUAGUUUGUUGGGGGGGUAACGGCCCACCAAGACUACGAUGGAUAGGGGUUCUGAGAGGAAGGUCCCCCACAUUGGAACUGAGACACGGUCCAAACUCCUACGGGAGGCAGCAGUGAGGAAUAUUGGUCAAUGGACGCGAGUCUGAACCAGCCAAGUAGCGUGAAGGAUGACUGCCCUAUGGGUUGUAAACUUCUUUUAUAUGGGAAUAAAGUGGUCCACGUGUGGACUUUUGUAUGUACCAUAUGAAUAAGGAUCGGCUAACUCCGUGCCAGCAGCCGCGGUAAUACGGAGGAUCCGAGCGUUAUCCGGAUUUAUUGGGUUUAAAGGGAGCGUAGGCGGAUUGUUAAGUCAGUUGUGAAAGUUUGCGGCUCAACCGUAAAAUUGCAGUUGAUACUGGCAGUCUUGAGUGCAGUAGAGGUGGGCGGAAUUCGUGGUGUAGCGGUGAAAUGCUUAGAUAUCACGAAGACUCCGAUUGCGAAGGCAGCUCACUGGAGUGUAACUGACGCUGAUGCUC